RNAcentral lists this ribosomal RNA (465 nucleotides) under Vreelandella stevensii. RNAcentral's name for it is "partial 16S ribosomal RNA". It matches the Rfam family "Bacterial small subunit ribosomal RNA", at positions 338 to 795 of the family's 1533-position model. The record is from RNAcentral. Lineage: Bacteria; Pseudomonadati; Pseudomonadota; Gammaproteobacteria; Oceanospirillales; Halomonadaceae.
CCUACGGGUGGCAGCAGUGGGGAAUAUUGGACAAUGGGGGCAACCCUGAUCCAGCGAUGCCGCGUGUGUGAAGAAGGCCCUCGGGUUGUAAAGCACUUUCAGUGAGGAAGAACGCCUGGUGGUUAAUACCCAUCAGGAAAGACAUCACUCACAGAAGAAGCACCGGCUAACUCCGUGCCAGCAGCCGCGGUAAUACGGAGGGUGCGAGCGUUAAUCGGAAUUACUGGGCGUAAAGCGCGCGUAGGUGGCUUGAUAAGCCGGUUGUGAAAGCCCCGGGCUCAACCUGGGAACGGCAUCCGGAACUGUCAAGCUAGAGUGCAGGAGAGGAAGGUAGAAUUCCCGGUGUAGCGGUGAAAUGCGUAGAGAUCGGGAGGAAUACCAGUGGCGAAGGCGGCCUUCUGGACUGACACUGACACUGAGGUGCGAAAGCGUGGGUAGCAAACAGGAUUAGAUACCCUAGUAGUC